GGUCCCGUGGUGUAGCGGUUAUCACGUCGCCCUGUCACUGCGAAGAUCGCGGGUUCGAUUCCCGUCGGGACCG
RNAcentral lists this transfer RNA (73 nucleotides) under Streptococcus thermophilus. Its description in RNAcentral is "tRNA-Asp". It matches the Rfam family "tRNA". Rfam says of the family: Transfer RNA (tRNA) molecules are approximately 80 nucleotides in length. Their secondary structure includes four short double-helical elements and three loops (D, anti-codon, and T loops). Lineage: Bacteria; Bacillati; Bacillota; Bacilli; Lactobacillales; Streptococcaceae. The record is from RNAcentral.